RNAcentral lists this transfer RNA (59 nucleotides) under Salmo salar (Atlantic salmon). The record is from Rfam by way of RNAcentral. Lineage: Eukaryota; Metazoa; Chordata; Actinopteri; Salmoniformes; Salmonidae.
UGGCUCAGUUGGUAGAGCGUGGGGCUUGCAACGCCAGGGUUGUGGGUUUUGAUUCCCAC